RNAcentral lists this transfer RNA (63 nucleotides) under Cucujoidea sp. 41 KM-2017. Its description in RNAcentral is "tRNA-Arg". Lineage: Eukaryota; Metazoa; Arthropoda; Insecta; Coleoptera. The record is from RNAcentral.
AAAUAAGAAGCAAAUAUUGCAUUUAGUUUCGGCCUAAAAGUUUGGUAUAGUUACCCUUAUUUA